AACGAACGCUGGCGGCAGGCCUAACACAUGCAAGUCGAACGCCCUGGCAACAGGGAGUGGCAGACGGGUGAGUAACGCGUGGGAACGUGCCCUUCGGUUCGGAAUAACUCAGGGAAACUUGAGCUAACACCGGAUACGUGCGGGAGCAGAAAGAUUUAUCGCCGAAGGAUCGGCCCGCGUCCGAUUAGCUAGUUGGUGAGGUAAUGGCUCACCAAGGCGACGAUCGGUAGCUGGUCUGAGAGGAUGAUCAGCCACACUGGGACUGAGACACGGCCCAGACUCCUACGGGAGGCAGCAGUGGGGAAUAUUGGACAAUGGGCGCAAGCCUGAUCCAGCCAUGCCGCGUGAGUGAUGAAGGCCCUAGGGUUGUAAAGCUCUUUCGCCAGGGACGAUAAUGACGGUACCUGGAUAAGAAGCCCCGGCUAACUUCGUGCCAGCCGCCGCAGUAA
RNAcentral lists this ribosomal RNA (449 nucleotides) under uncultured bacterium. Its description in RNAcentral is "partial 16S ribosomal RNA". It matches the Rfam family "Bacterial small subunit ribosomal RNA", at positions 29 to 523 of the family's 1533-position model. The record is from RNAcentral.